RNAcentral lists this ribosomal RNA (2060 nucleotides) under Triticum aestivum (bread wheat). Its description in RNAcentral is "partial small subunit ribosomal RNA". The record is from RNAcentral. Lineage: Eukaryota; Viridiplantae; Streptophyta; Magnoliopsida; Poales; Poaceae.
CCUUCUCUCGCCCCUCACACCUUUCUUCCCCACCGCUACUCCUGCCGGAAUCCGUGAUCCCGGCGCGAGCAUCUCACGCCCACUUCCCAUCAUCUCCCAGGAUCCAGCCUCCGCACGCUCGCCGGAGCCGCCAAGCUACAACCAAGCACGCGGUGCCCGAUUCGCCGAGUGCGGCGGUGGCCAGGCCCAGAUCUGCGAGAUCGCCACCGACCACGCUCCGCCUCCUCCGAGUAAUGCUUCUGGGAUCCCUCGGGCUCGGACGCCGGUAGUGCUGAGCGGCAUCUAGUCGGCGGCGUGCUCCCGUGGCGGCGACUUGGGCGAGAUGCAGCGAAACGGGGUGAUGGAAUGCACAGCGUGCCGCUCCCGGCUGGUGGCGCCGAGCCCGCGGAGCGUGUCCAGGGCGUACGACAAGCACCACAACAAGAUAACGUCCAAGUUCCGUGCGCUCAAAUUCCUCCUCGUCGUCGGCGACUGCAUGCUCGUCGGCCUCCAGCCCAUCCUAGUGUUCAUGUCAAAAGUAGAUGGGAAGUUCCAGUUCAGCCCCAUCAGUGUUAACUUUUUGACGGAGGUUGCAAAAGUUAUCUUUGCUAUCGUGAUGCUAAUUAUUCAGUCUCGAAAGCAAAAGGUUGGGGAAAAACCACUUCUGGCACGUUCAACCCUUAUACAGGCAGCCCGCAAUAAUGUACUCCUAGCUGUCCCUGCACUUCUAUAUGCCAUCAACAAUUACCUUAAAUUUAUCAUGCAGUUGUAUUUCAAUCCUUCAACUGUGAAAAUGCUAAGCAACCUAAAGGUACUGGUCAUAGCUGUUCUUCUGAAAUUUAUAAUGAGAAGGAGGUUCUCUGUUAUUCAGUGGGAAGCUCUUGCUCUAUUACUUAUUGGGAUCAGCAUCAAUCAACUUCGAACUGCACCUGCGGGCGAUACAGCAUUUGGUCUUCCUAUCACUGCUAUCGCAUACAUCUAUACACUGAUUUUUGUAACUGUUCCAUCACUAGCUUCUGUCUACAACGAGUAUGCAAUGAAAAGUCAAGAUACUAGUAUUUAUCUUCAGAAUUUAUUUCUGUAUGGAUAUGGUGCAAUAUUCAACUUCCUCGGCAUCCUUGGGACGGCCUUAUUCCAAGGGCCCGAGAAUUUUAAUAUCCUUCAAGGGCAUUCAAGGGCUACGAUGUUUCUCAUAUGUAACAAUGCUGCGCAAGGCAUUCUUUCUUCAUUCUUCUUCAAGUAUGCAGAUACAAUUUUGAAGAAGUAUUCCUCAACUGUUGCCACAAUUUUUACUGGUCUAGCUUCUGCUGCUUUUCUGGGACAUACCUUGACUAUUAACUUUCUCCUGGGCAUAUCAGUGGUGUUUAUUUCAAUGCAUCAGUUCUUCUCACCUAUAGCUAAAGUCAAAGGCGACAAACCAGGUGAAUUAUUGGAGUUGCAAGAUACACAGAAUCAUCGGUCAUCUGAUUCUUCUUUUGUAAAUAUGACUGCUGGUGCUGCUGAGGACGCUAGCCAUCAGCUUGGAACUGAUGAGAGGCAACAACUGUUGCCAAUUUGAAACGUAUAUUUUGUAGGUAGGAUAGAAGACACUUUUUCCAGGUGGUUCCAACAGUUGGGGGACAGCAGAUUUUGUGUGGUGCUGCGAGUGAAAUAAACUACUGUACACUGUAAAGGCAAAGACAGAAGUUACAAAUGUGUUCCCUUUUCCAUUUCAUUCUUUUGGAGGGGGUGCGUCCGUGCGUGGCCAGGUGGCGCAUGAUAACUUGGAUAGUAAGGAUAUAUUAUCUCCACAGGAAGUCCCCAAUACGAUACACAUAGAAAUUCAUUUUUCCCUGGAGCAUGUUGCGUACAGUCAAAAUGAGGUAUUCUUUUGUACGGAAUUUUUGAGCUACCGAUCAUUAUAACAAUUCGUUAAUACUUGGUUCUUCUGGUGCUUAUAUGGUGACCGUCUGAAUCCUUUUUUUUUUUUGGUGUUGUAAGAGGUUGAAGUCGAUCUUCAUAAAAUAGCACUGUUUCAUGUUUGAACCUAAGAACCGUUGUUACUCAGUAGGACAGGAAGUCAGAAUUACUCCCUCCGAUCC